This 417-nucleotide long non-coding RNA is filed under the name Elaeis guineensis (African oil palm). Its description in RNAcentral is "long non-coding RNA (EGUI_LNC035141)". The record is from RNAcentral. Lineage: Eukaryota; Viridiplantae; Streptophyta; Magnoliopsida; Arecales; Arecaceae.
UGUGGUUUCUAAUUGUGUGAAGUAGAUUUUGCUUUCCAAAAUUGAUCUACAUGAUCAAGAAAGUGAUCACGAUGAGGAUUUUGAUGAAUUGGUUGCUGAGUGUGAUGAGAUUGAGCUUCUUGAGAGGUUGUUUUUUGCUGCUGCUCAGUAGUACACCGAAGUUGUUGUACCGUAGCAGUAAAGGCUUAGACCUGUUGAACUAAGAGAUCAAAUUAUUGUGGAUCAACUGUAAUUGGAGGUUAAGCAUUCUCUUGAGCAUCUCCUGAAGAAGAUGGUACAUGUAAAGGAUGAUUUUAUGCCUUCUUGUUCAUCAAUUCUACCAAAAUUUACUAUAAAAAAAUUACUUAAUACUAUUAGCGAUGACUUAACCAUUGCUAAUACUAUUAGCGAUGACUUAACCAUCGCUAAUACUAUUAG